GUCACUGCUGUGGUUUAUAUCUAGAGGUACCCUGAAAGCUUCAUGGGAUCACAGGCGGAAACUUUGGAAAGUGAUUCCGGCUCUUUCCUCGACUCUCUCUGCUUCUGUCACCAUGCCACAAGCAGCUCACCUCCACCAGGCCCCUGUGCCAUGCUGUCCUGCCUUGGAAUCAGCCAACUCUGAACUGAAACACAAGCCAGAAAGAGUCUCUCCUCCCUUAAGCCACAGGUGUCAGGAGCCUGGCGAGAGAGGAUGACGGACGUACUGUGAGGCCCUGGACAGGAUCCUGGGGCAGGAAAAGAACACCAGGAAAAAGCACGGAAGUCCCAAUAAAGUGUGGGCUUUCAGCA
Long non-coding RNA from Chinchilla lanigera (long-tailed chinchilla), 350 nucleotides. RefSeq lists it as uncharacterized. The record is from RefSeq and is a predicted model, not a curated record. The transcript is spliced from 2 exons. Lineage: Eukaryota; Metazoa; Chordata; Mammalia; Rodentia; Chinchillidae.